Molecule: ribosomal RNA, 253 nt
Filed under: uncultured bacterium
Lineage: Bacteria
Description: partial 16S ribosomal RNA
Rfam family: Bacterial small subunit ribosomal RNA
Source: RNAcentral
UACGAAGGGGGCUAGCGUUGCUCGGAAUUACUGGGCGUAAAGGGCGCGUAGGCGGACAGUUUAGUCAGAGGUGAAAGCCCAGGGCUCAACCUUGGAAUUGCCUUUGAUACUGGCUGUCUUGAGUUCGGGAGAGGUGAGUGGAAUGCCGAGUGUAGAGGUGAAAUUCGUAGAUAUUCGGCGGAACACCAGUGGCGAAGGCGACUCGCUGGCCCGAUACUGACGCUGAGGCGCGAAAGCGUGGGGAGCAAACAGG